GGGUCCAUAGUUCAGUGGUAGAGCAUUUGACUGCGGAUCAAGAGGUCGCUGGUUCGAAACCGGCUGUUACCU
RNAcentral lists this transfer RNA (72 nucleotides) under Hofstenia miamia. Its description in RNAcentral is "tRNA-Arg for anticodon GCG". It matches the Rfam family "tRNA". From Rfam's summary of the family: Transfer RNA (tRNA) molecules are approximately 80 nucleotides in length. Their secondary structure includes four short double-helical elements and three loops (D, anti-codon, and T loops). The record is from RNAcentral. Lineage: Eukaryota; Metazoa; Xenacoelomorpha; Acoela; Hofsteniidae.